Molecule: long non-coding RNA, 989 nt
Organism: Melanotaenia boesemani (Boeseman's rainbowfish)
Lineage: Eukaryota; Metazoa; Chordata; Actinopteri; Atheriniformes; Melanotaeniidae
Exons: 4
Source: RefSeq, a predicted model, not a curated record
AUGCCUUGGAGCUAUCCAUUGAAGAAUCUGGACAGGGAAUGGACAAGUAUUUAAGGACAAAACUAAAGAACAAAGAUGUACAGUCUGAAGAUGGGGAGUUGACUCAAAACAUCAUCCAAAUGCUGAUGGCCUACUUCAAUGAAAGAACAGAGGGACUGGUACUCUUUGCUGAUAUGUCUGCCACUGCAGCUGAUGUAGAGUGAACCCUGACCCUCCCAACCACUCCACGACUGAUUCUACUGGUUGCUGGUGAUGGAGUCACAUUGGGCCACUGGAUGAUCAGCAUUGAAAGCCAGGUCAUCUGUGAAGGCACCCAAAAAACCUUCAUCUCAGGGCUUGCUGCAGUUUUCGCAACAUUCUACGUGUUCAACCUGGAAUACCAAGAAGAAGCUGCAAGGACCCUGGAGUUUGUGCAAAGGCGCCUCAUUGGGAUCAAUCCCAAAAGGGGAGGAAAGACCAGCCAGGGAAAAGUGGUGUCAAAGAGGACGGGGAAGCUGGUCCACAAAAAGGCAACAACGGUGAAUCCCCAUGUGGCCACUCUCCUAAAAAAUUUGAUGGACUUUGAGUGGGGGUUUAUUUAGUUCAAACUGUCUCAGGUGCCCAUGGUCAAUUUUUUUACUCACAGUUGUUGAAAACCUGUUUAUGUUUAGUUUUUAUUGUUGUGAAAUGUGUGUAAUGAAGUUAGCUUUUACUUUGUUCUUAGCUGCUAUGCAGUGACUUUAACUGAACUGUUUCAAUGUUUCGGUGAACGGAGGAAGGAAGAGGAAAAAAUAACAAGCAGUAAAGUGAAGAGGAUUUGAAUUGGCUGAUGAUUUCUAUUCUGUUUGCAAACAGUCAAACCAGCCUCGAUCAAUUUUGACCCAGUAGGACAACACAAAGUUUAAUAAAUGUAAUGUGAUCUAAAUCCCAUGUCAUAGUUCAAGAAAAAAUAUGACAGUCAAGUAAUGAUGCUUGUGGAUUUUAUGGAUACUACAAAAGUUCAGUUUUAA